RNAcentral lists this ribosomal RNA (460 nucleotides) under uncultured bacterium. RNAcentral describes it as "partial 16S ribosomal RNA". It matches the Rfam family "Bacterial small subunit ribosomal RNA", at positions 338 to 795 of the family's 1533-position model. The record is from RNAcentral.
CCUACGGGAGGCAGCAGUGAGGAAUAUUGGUCAAUGGACGAGAGACUGAACCAGCCAAGUCGCGUGAAGGAUGACUGCCCUAUGGGUUGUAAACUUCUUUUAUAUGGGAAUAAAAUGUUCCACGUGUGGGAGUUUGUAUGUACCAUAUGAAUAAGGAUCGGCUAACUCCGUGCCAGCAGCCGCGGUAAUACGGAGGAUGCGAGCGUUAUCCGGAUUUAUUGGGUUUAAAGGGAGCGUAGGUGGAUUGUUAAGUCAGUUGUGAAAGUUUGCGGCUCAACCGUAAAAUUGCAGUUGAAACUGGCAGUCUUGAGUACGGUAGAGGUGUGCGGAAUUCGUGGUGUAGCGGUGAAAUGCUUAGAUAUCACGAAGAACUCCGAUUGCGAAGGCAGCUCACUGGACUGCAACUGACACUGAGGCUCGAAAGUGUGGGUAUCAAACAGGAUUAGAUACCCUGGUAGUC